This is a long non-coding RNA of Lactuca sativa (garden lettuce), 922 nucleotides long. RefSeq lists it as uncharacterized. The record is from RefSeq and is a predicted model, not a curated record. NCBI's taxonomy places the organism in Eukaryota, Viridiplantae, Streptophyta, Magnoliopsida, Asterales, Asteraceae.
UUAUAAUUUUCUUUAUGGGUUUCUCUAGACAAUACUAAUUAUCGGUUCUUUUCUUGAAGUGAUCUCAAAAGGCUAUCUUUGGAAGGAAUACUCACACCUGAGUUAGGGAAUCUCACUCAGUUGAGACGUCUCCUCUUUUUCUUGGUGAAAGUGGCGUAGAGAUUAUCAAGCUUCAACUUCAACUUCCUCCUCCACAUCUAUUUCUGCAGCUGAUAUCAAUGUCAUUCCCCUGAGACAGCGAGCUUUUUGGAAGGAACAUCUAGUACAAUAACAUCCCAAGAGGUUGUCUAUGAACUGGAAGCUAAACGAGAUGCGUGGCGAAAUGGAUGCUAAAGUUGCAGAAAUGGAAGCUAAACAUCAAAAAAUGCGUGAGGAAAUGGAUGCCAAAGCUAUAGCAAUAGAUGCCAAACAACAACAAAUUGAUGCAAAAUAUGAAGCAAUAGAGAAGAUGUAUGCAGCCUUGCAAAAUAUGAUGGGAAAUUGAAAAUUAGAGGAAUGAGAACCGAAGAUGAUUGGAUGGACAUGAAAUGAAGAGAGCAACUAAAAUGUUAUUUUGAAGGUUAAACUUUUUUCAGUUUGUACCUCUUUUGCAUACUUUGGAUUUCUUGGUGCUAAAAUAUUAUUUUGAAGUUAAACUGUUGGGAGUUUGAUGUUAUGUGGAUAGUUUCGUUUUUGGAUGUUUUUUGAAUGACACUUUGGUAAAGUUUGAUAGUUUUGGUAUUGUAAUGCUUGGUUGUAUCAUUAUUUGAUGUUCUUUAGUAUAAUAAUUUGAUGAUUGUAGUAUUUUUUUUCUUUUAGAAUCAUAAUAAAAAAAAUGAUAUUACAAGUUCGUGGUGAGAAAAUAAAAAGUAUUUUAAUGCAUGAAUUUUGCGAGGGAUUAGCUACGGAAAAAAAAAAUCAUGUCUAAAGUGUGCGACGGAUC